AGCCAUUCUGUUUUCUGUUGUUAAUACUUGAUUUAUGUGCAGACCACGUACCUAGCUCCAAUGGAGAAAUCAGGUACAAGUAUGGACUUUCAUCAGUUGAGUUGAUGUUUUACAAUGGAAUUUGAUCGCUCCCUUUCCUGCUAAUCUUUAUAAUCUGUUCCACUUAAAUUUAGGACUAUUUUGUUAAACUUGCUUAUGUGAAGCAACAACUGGUCUAGUGAUUCUUGCUGUGCUAUUAUUUUUUAAUGAAAUUAACAGGGUAAUCACAUUUCCUCUAUAAUUGUUAGUCUAGCAAGGAGUGAGCAUGCAUCUCAGGCAUUAUCAGCUGGGACAAGGUUGAAAGAAGGUUGCCACAUAAAUCACAGUUUGUUGACCCGAGGAACUGUCAUUCUCAAGGUUUCAAAAGAUGGCUCAAAUUGAGCAAGCUAGAGAUUGUAGAUCUACUUUUUUUUCCUUUCACUUCUCAUUCACUUCUUAUUGGGAAGAAUAGAGGGAGGGAGAAAAUUCAUACAAGGUGCUUCUGUUUAUCACUCAAAAGAGGGUCAUUUGCAUUCUACAAGUACUAAUUUCUCUUGGGCGGGUUUUGAUUUUUCUUUCUAAAUUACUAAAAAGCAUAUGCUGCCUGCCCAUGUGAUUGGACAACCUAACCAUGUGAUUACUAAGACUUCACCUCAUUUGGAAUGCCACUCUUUCUUUUAAUUUGGGUAGUAAAACUGUGUUUGAGAUGUUUCAGUUGGCACUUGAGGAAACUGUAUGAGAACAAAUUACCUUUUUCACAAGAGGAUUUGUGUGGACAAAGAGGCAGGAGAUAGCUAUAUUGGUCAAGCUGGGAGUGGACCACAUGGAUGAUUUUUUUAAUGUAUUCAGACAAUUUUCAACUUACUGUUGUAAAUAUUAUAUAUCUUUUCUUGUAAAGUUGUACAAUAUUUGUUUAAUAUUCAUUUUUAAUU
This is a long non-coding RNA of Magnolia sinica, 950 nucleotides long. RefSeq lists it as uncharacterized. Lineage: Eukaryota; Viridiplantae; Streptophyta; Magnoliopsida; Magnoliales; Magnoliaceae. The record is from RefSeq and is a predicted model, not a curated record. The transcript is spliced from 3 exons.